Non-coding RNA from Callithrix jacchus (white-tufted-ear marmoset), 2635 nucleotides. NCBI's taxonomy places the organism in Eukaryota, Metazoa, Chordata, Mammalia, Primates, Cebidae. The record is from RefSeq and is a predicted model, not a curated record.
GGUGAGGGGCACCUAGGUGAGAGGAUUGCUUGAGCCCAGGAGGUUGAGGCUGAAGUGAGUUGUAGUCACUGCACUCCAGCCUGGGAAACGGAGUGAGGCCCUGUCUCAAAAAGAAAGAAAAAAGGAUAUGUUUCAUUUGGUUUAUUGUAACACAUAAUUGCGACUCCCAAUUAUGUAGGCAUCUGGAAAAAGUAGUUUUGGAAAUUUGUAGAGUAUGCCUAUAGACCUGUUUACCAAUCCAUCUGUAAUUAUUUAUUGAUCACAUAACAUGUGACCAGGCCUAGCCAGCCCCUUCUCAGAUAGGAUAGUAAAAUUUGGUGUAGGCUUUUUUUUUUUGAACUGUGAUUCUGUUUCUGAUUUAGGCUAUUAGGGAAAGCCCAUUUACCUUGAAAUCAAGACAUAGCCUCCGGGAGUUCUGAGUGGAAAUUCAUGUUUCCUCUGUCAUUUUAGAGAAGGUGCUGCACUGGUACUUUCAGCAGUGGAUUAUGCACAAUCAACGGUGAUGAAUGUAUGAGCAUUUUUAAUUAGUCUUCAUGCCCUGUGUCUAAUGCAAUCAGAAACCCUAUAUCAAAGCAGAGAUUUGUAAUCAAUCAUUCAUCAUCUUCUGAGGCAGAUAUAAACCCAUUUGCUUUGAGCCUGCAACUUUAAAUAUCUGCUUUAUUAUUAAACCAGGCAGAUACCUAUAAAUGAAGUAUAUUUUGAGCAUGUAGACUUAAAUCUCAAAUUGCAGAUUGCUCUGAUUAAGUGUAAUUGUGAGAAUUAGGGUGUCUCUAGCUUUCAGUCUGUCCAUAGAAAACCUGCUAAAAGACAAAAUAAUGUUAGAGAAAGAGUAUCAGACUGACAUUAAGGAAACCUGAAUUCGAGGCCCACCUUUGCAAACUCCAGAUUUCCUCAUCUGUAAAAUGAAGAGAGGAUUGAAAUAACUGCUAUUUAAGUUUUCUUUAUUUUUUGUUAAAGGUAUGUUACUUCUAAUAGAAACACUAAUAGUAAACAACAUUUGGGAACCAUUUAAUAUGUCUAUGGAGGCACUUGGAGCUUGUAUUGUGUCAUCUUUCCUCUCAUUGCCCCUAUGAGGUAGUUACUAUAAAAAGGCCACCUCUGCCCUUAGCUUGGGAAUUCUUGUUGGGGAGGCUGAUCUCUGUGAGCUAAAGAUUUGGAGAUGUCAGAUAUGAAUCCACAAUGAUUAUCUGAAUAAAAAUCAUUGAAUUAAAUAUAGAGUCCUACAGAGAUAAUUUUUUGUUUAUCUGACUGGGUCUGUCAAAAUUCUGUAAUUAAAGUAAAAUUGACAGAUUAUAUUUUCAAAUUUAAUUGACAACCAAGUAAUUAUUAUAUGUUUCUCUGCUGUUAAAAGAAUUAUUUCAGCCUGGCUCACACCUGUAAUCCCUGCCCUUUGGGAGGCCAAGGUUUACGUAUCAUGAGGUUAGGAGUUCAAGACCAGCCUAGGCAACAUAAGGAGAUUCUGUCUCUAUAACAAAUAAAAAAGUCAGCUGGCUGUGGUGGUGCACAUCUUUAGUCCCAGCUAUGUGGGAGGCUGAGGUAGAGAGGAUUGCUUGAACCCAGAAGUUGAGGUUGCAGUGAGCUGUGAUUGCACCACUGUGCUCCAGCCUGAGCGAUAGAGCAAGACCCUGUCUCAAAGGAGAAAAAAAAGAAAUUCCUUAAGAAUAGGGCACAGGUAUAUUGAAAUCUUUAAGAGCAGUAGAGCUGAAGUUAGAACUCACUAUGACCCACCACGAAAGCUUAUGGCCAUGCAGCGGCCAGGUCCCUAUGACAGACCUGGGGCUGGCAGAGGAUAUAACAGCAUUGGCAGAGGAGCAGGCUUUGAAAGGAUGAGGUGUGGUGCUUAUGGUGGAGGCUAUGACAAUUACAAUGGCUAUAAUGAUGGCUAUGGAUUUGGGUCAGAUAGAUUUGGAAGAGACCUCAAUUACUGUUUUUCAGUAUCUGUGAUUCAUUCUGAUCACAGAUACGGGGAUGGUGGCUCUACUUUCCAGAGCACAAUAGGACACUGUGUACACAUGCGUGGAUUACCUUACAGAGCUACUGAGAAUGACAUUUACAGUUUUUUUUCACCACUCAAUCCUGUGAGAGUACACAUUGAAAUUGGUCCUGAUGGCAGAGUAACUGGUGAAGCAGAUGUUGAGUCUGCAUGUCAAAAGACAAAGUAAAUAUGCAACACAGAUAUGUAGAACUCUUCUUGAAUUCUACAGCAGGAGCAAGCGGUGGUGCUUAUGAACACAGAUAUGUAGAACUCUUCUCGAAUUCUACAGCAGGAGCAAGCAGUGGUGCUUAUGGGAGCCAAAUGAUGGGAGGCAAGGGCUUGUCAAACCAGUCCAGUUACGGUGGCCCAGCCAGCCAGCAGCUGAGUGGUGGUUAUGGAGGCGGCUAUGGUGGCCAGAGCAUCAUGAGUGGAUACAACCAAGUUUUACAGGAAAACUCCAGUGAUUCAAUCAAACAUUGCAUAGGUAGCCAAGGAGCAAUGAACAGCAGCUACUACAGUAGUGGAAGCCAUGCAUCUAUGGGCGUGAACGGAAUGGGAGGGAUGUCUAUAGUAUGUCCAGUAUGAGUGGUGGAUGGGGAAUGUAAUUGAUUGAUCCUGAUCACUGACUCUUGGUCAACUUUUUUUUAAAGAAAAACAAAA